GAAAAAGAUAUAAAGGUGGUAGAGGUGGUGACUGAUGCACACCUUGGAAUUGGUUCAGUAAUGAAGAAAGAUUACCCAAAUAUACACCAUUCCCAUGAUAUAUGGCAUGUGGCAAAGAAUUUGGGGAAGAAGAUUUUGAAGGUGGCUCAGAAGAAGGGGAAUAACAUAUUAUUGGAUUGGUGUA
This is a long non-coding RNA of Ostrea edulis (European flat oyster), 184 nucleotides long. RefSeq lists it as uncharacterized. Lineage: Eukaryota; Metazoa; Mollusca; Bivalvia; Ostreida; Ostreidae. The record is from RefSeq and is a predicted model, not a curated record. The transcript is spliced from 3 exons.